CUACGGGCCGCAGCAGUGAGGAAUAUUGCACAAUGGGGGGAACCCUGAUGCAACAACGCCGCGUGGAGGAUGACGCAUUUCGGUGUGUAAACUCCUUUUAUAUGUCAAGAAAAUGACGGUAGCAUAUGAAUAAGCACCGGCUAACUCCGUGCCAGCAGCCGCGGUAAUACGGAGGGUGCAAGCGUUACUCGGAAUCACUGGGCGUAAAGGACGCGUAGGCGGGUUGGAAAGUCAGGUGUGAAAUCCUACAGCUUAACUGUAGAACUGCACUUGAAACUUCUAAUCUAGAGUAUGGGAGGGGGAGAUGGAAUUAGUGGUGUAGGGGUAAAAUCCGUAGAUAUCACUAGGAAUACCUAAAGCGAAGGCGAUCUCCUGGAACAUUACUGACGCUAAGGCGUGAAAGCGUGGGAAGCAAACAGGAUUAGAUACCCCCGUAGUC
This 439-nucleotide ribosomal RNA is filed under the name uncultured bacterium. RNAcentral describes it as "partial 16S ribosomal RNA". It matches the Rfam family "Bacterial small subunit ribosomal RNA", at positions 339 to 795 of the family's 1533-position model. The record is from RNAcentral.